GCGCAGAGAGAUGAGCCGACGCCGGAUUAGCUAGUUGGCGGGGUAAAGGCCCACCAAGGCGACGAUCCAUAGCUGGUCUGAGAGGAUGAUCAGCCACACUGGGACUGAGACACGGCCCAG
Molecule: ribosomal RNA, 120 nt
Filed under: uncultured bacterium
Lineage: Bacteria
Description: partial 16S ribosomal RNA
Rfam family: Bacterial small subunit ribosomal RNA
Source: RNAcentral